RNAcentral lists this ribosomal RNA (1256 nucleotides) under uncultured bacterium. RNAcentral describes it as "bacterial SSU rRNA". It matches the Rfam family "Bacterial small subunit ribosomal RNA", at positions 254 to 1533 of the family's 1533-position model. The record is from RNAcentral.
UGGCUCACCACCAGGCGACGCGAAUCGUAGGCUGGUCGAGAGGAGUGAUCAGGCCACUCGACUGAAACCGCCGACUCCUACGGAGCAGGCAGUGGGAAUAUUGACAUGGCGAAAGCUGAUCCAGCCAUGCCGCGUGUUUGAGAGCUCGGGUGUAAAGCACUUUCAGUGGGAAGAAAGCUGGGGCUAAUACCCUCGAGGAAGGACAUCACCCACAGAAGAAGCACCGGCUAACUCCGUGCCAGCAGCCGCGGUAAUACGGAGGGUGCGAGCGUUAAUCGGAAUUACUGGGCGUAAAGCGCGCGUAGGCGGUCUGAUAAGCCGGUUGUGAAAGCCCCGGGCUCAACCUGGGAACGGCAUCCGGAGCUGUCAGGCUAGAGUGCAGGAGAGGAAGGUAGAAUUCCCGGUGUAGCGGUGAAAUGCGUAGAGAUCGGGAGGAAUACCAGUGGCGAAGGCGGCCUUCUGGACUGACACUGACGCUGAGGUGCGAAAGCGUGGGUAGCAAACAGGAUUAGAUACCCUGGUAGUCCACGCCGUAAACGAUGUCGACUAGCCGUUGGGCUCCUUGAGAGCUUUGUGGCGCAGUUAACGCGAUAAGUCGACCGCCUGGGGAGUACGGCCGCAAGGUUAAAACUCAAAUGAAUUGACGGGGGCCCGCACAAGCGGUGGAGCAUGUGGUUUAAUUCGAUGCAACGCGAAGAACCUUACCUACCCUUGACAUCGUGCGAACUUUCCAGAGAUGGAUUGGUGCCUUCGGGAGCGCACAGACAGGUGCUGCAUGGCUGUCGUCAGCUCGUGUUGUGAAAUGUUGGGUUAAGUCCCGUAACGAGCGCAACCCUUGUCCUUAUUUGCCAGCGCGUAAUGGCGGGAACUCUAAGGAGACUGCCGGUGACAAACCGGAGGAAGGUGGGGACGACGUCAAGUCAUCAUGGCCCUUACGGGUAGGGCUACACACGUGCUACAAUGGCCGGUACAAAGGGUUGCGAAGCCGCGAGGUGGAGCUAAUCCCGAAAAGCUGGUCUCAGUCCGGAUCGGAGUCUGCAACUCGACUCCGUGAAGUCGGAAUCGCUAGUAAUCGUGAAUCAGAAUGUCACGGUGAAUACGUUCCCGGGCCUUGUACACACCGCCCGUCACACCAUGGGAGUGGACUGCACCAGAAGUGGUUAGCCUAACUUCGGAGGGCGAUCACCACGGUGUGGUUCAUGACUGGGGUGAAGUCGUAACAAGGUAACCAAUCUCUAGAGUCCCCGACCAGGACG